GUGCCUCCUUCUUCUUGAUUUGGACUCUUCCAAAGAUGAAAAAUAAAAGGAGGAGUUUCAGAUCUGAGAUGCUCUCAGGAAACUCAAGAUGGAGGGAGGAAAGAUAUGAAAACAAACAACCCUAGAAGAAGACCCUCUUCUUCUUCUCGUUUCUCUCUCUAGACACCCUAACUUUUGUCUUUUAUAUCUCCACAACCCAAAGGUCU
This 206-nucleotide long non-coding RNA is filed under the name Elaeis guineensis (African oil palm). Its description in RNAcentral is "long non-coding RNA (EGUI_LNC081675)". The record is from RNAcentral. Lineage: Eukaryota; Viridiplantae; Streptophyta; Magnoliopsida; Arecales; Arecaceae.